GUGGGGAAUAUUGGACAAUGGGGGGAACCCUGAUCCAGCCAUGCCGCGUGUGUGAAGAAGGCCUUUUGGUUGUAAAGCACUUUAAGCGAGGAGGAGGCUACCGAGAUUAAUACUCUUGGAUAGUGGACGUUACUCGCAGAAUAAGCACCGGCUAACUCUGUGCCAGCAGCCGCGGUAAUACGGAGGGUGCAAGCGUUAAUCGGAUUUACUGGGCGUAAAGCGCGCGUAGGUGGCCAAUUAAGUCAAAUGUGAAAUCCCCGAGCUUAACUUGGGAAUUGCAUUCGAUACUGGUUGGCUAGAGUAUGGGAGAGGAUGGUAGAAUUCCAGGUGUAGCGGUGAAAUGCGUAGAGAUCUGGAGGAAUACCGAUGGCGAAGGCAGCCAUCUGGCCUAAUACUGACACUGAGGUGCGAAAGCAUGGGGAGCAAACAGGAUUAGAAACCCGGGUAGUCC
RNAcentral lists this ribosomal RNA (451 nucleotides) under uncultured bacterium. RNAcentral's name for it is "partial 16S ribosomal RNA". It matches the Rfam family "Bacterial small subunit ribosomal RNA", at positions 354 to 796 of the family's 1533-position model. The record is from RNAcentral.